CUACGGGGGGCUGCAGUGAGGAAUAUUGCACAAUGGGGGGAACCCUGAUGCAGCAACGCCGCGUGGAGGAUGACGCAUUUCGGUGUGUAAACUCCUUUUAUAUGUCAAGAAAAUGACGGUAGCAUAUGAAUAAGCACCGGCUAACUCCGUGCCAGCAGCCGCGGUAAUACGGAGGGUGCAAGCGUUACUCGGAAUCACUGGGCGUAAAGGACGCGUAGGCGGGUUGGAAAGUCAGGUGUGAAAUCCUACAGCUUAACUGUAGAACUGCACUUGAAACUUCUAAUCCAGAGUAUGGGAGGGGGAGAUGGAAUUAGCGGUGUAGGGGUAAAAUCCGUAGAUAUCACUAGGAAUACCUAAAGCGAAGGCGAUCUCCUGGAACAUUACUGACGCUAAGGCGUGAAAGCGUGGGGAGCAAACAGGAUUAGAUACCCUCGUAGUC
Molecule: ribosomal RNA, 439 nt
Filed under: uncultured bacterium
Lineage: Bacteria
Description: partial 16S ribosomal RNA
Rfam family: Bacterial small subunit ribosomal RNA
Source: RNAcentral